AUGUGGAUUUUUUUCUUCAAGUACUUGGUAGACGAGCAUGGCCAUCUGAAGGGAUUGUUCUGGGCUGAUAGUCAAUCUCGACUUGACUACGAGGCUUUCAGAGACGUCAUUGUUUUCGAUAGCACAUACAGAACCAACAAAUACAAUCUGCCAUUCGUGCCAUUUGUCGGGUUGAAUCACCACCGGAGCACUAUCAUUUUUGGCUGUGGUAUAAUUUCUCAUGAAACAAGCCAGGCGUACGAGUGGAUGUUGCAGACCUUUUCUGAUUGCAUGGCACAGAAGCAUCCGAUAUCUGUGAUCACAGAUGGGGACCUUGCAAUGCAGAGAGAAAUCAGGGUGGUCUGGCCAGACUCAAACCAUAGACUAUGUAUAUGGCACAUUCAGCAGAACAUUGUAUGCCAUCUGCAUGAUGACGAUGUAAAGGAGGAAUUCAGACCUUUCAUUUAUGACACUUCUUCCAUUGAAGAGCAUGAGAUAGAAUGGAUACAAUUCUUACAACGGAAUAAAGUAACCAGUGAGGAGUCUUGGCUGAAUCAGAUGUAUCAGAUGAGAAAGUUGUGGUGUGCUCCAUAUCUUGAGGGGCGUUGUUUCCUAGGAUUGAGCAGCAAUCAGAGGAGUGAGAGCUUGAACUCUGUGCUACAUACGCAUCUUGAGGGUAAGAUGUCGUUGUUUGAAAUGCUAGAGCACUAUAAGCGUUGCCUUGCAUCGCGACGGAUUAACGAAGCUCUCCAUGACGUCGAAGCCUUGCAGUCCGUUCCAUUUACAAAGGAAAAUACGUCGCCGCUUGAGAAACACGCCGCAACAGUUUUCACACCUAGUGUCUUUAAGAUGGUCUUAUGGAGCAUAGAUGCUGUCAGCAAAUGUCAGAUCAGAGAGAUACUAGAUGGAUCAGAAGAUUCCACUUAUGUUGUGUCCAAGAAGGAAAGAAUGGAUAAAAAGUUUGGAGUGCGCAUUGAAGAGCAAGGAGGUCUUUUGCACAGGGUGAGUUGUUCUUGCCGUAAGUUGGAAUGCGCAGGCACACCAUGUUCCCACAUUUUUUACAUAUUGGGGAUU
This 1053-nucleotide ribosomal RNA is filed under the name Triticum aestivum (bread wheat). RNAcentral's name for it is "partial small subunit ribosomal RNA". The record is from RNAcentral. Lineage: Eukaryota; Viridiplantae; Streptophyta; Magnoliopsida; Poales; Poaceae.